UACAGAGGUCCCGAGCGUUGUUCGGAUUCACUGGGCGUAAAGGGUGCGUAGGUGGUUAGGUAAGUCCGAUGUGAAAUCUCCAGGCUCAACCUGGAAAUGGCAUUGGAUACUAUUUAGCUUGAGGAGUGGAGGGGGGACUGGAAUUCUCGGGUGUAGCAGUGAAAUGCGUAGAUAUCCGGAGGAACACCAGUGGCGAAGGCGACUUUCUGGCCUGUUCUUGACGCUGAGGCGCGAAAGCUAGGGGAGCAAACGGGG
This 255-nucleotide ribosomal RNA is filed under the name uncultured bacterium. RNAcentral describes it as "partial 16S ribosomal RNA". It matches the Rfam family "Bacterial small subunit ribosomal RNA", at positions 524 to 777 of the family's 1533-position model. The record is from RNAcentral.